UCACCUCAGCUAAGUACAGAAUAGGCGUAACCUUCUCCAACCUGUGCUGCCCCAAUCUUGGGCGAACACGAACAAAAUAGAGCUCCGGCGGCGGACCUCGCCGUGUGCUGUGUUGCGCCCUCACUGUGGUCCGACGUACAGAGGAAAGCCCGCCCCAUCCCCGCACCUCCGUUCUCCACCUCCGCGCCACCCUCCAACCCACCCCCUCACUACACCUGGCGCCUACCUCCGCCAUCCGCCGGCGGCUAGAUCCGCCGUUCGCCGAUGCCGGAGAAGAGAAAUCAAGCCAUCAGGUUCAGGGAAUGAUGGAGUCAAUGACUAGUAUUGCUCCACGUGUCAGGUCAACUAUAGCGAUUGGACUUGAAGAUGAUGCCAACAAUUUUUCCUUGGUCCAAACGAGAUUCGGCAUACAUGAUGAAGAUUGUUACAGCACAUCGAAAAGAACAAGUAGCCUACCCGCGUGAGGGUCAACUUACGAGCCAGAAUAUGAUGACAGCCUACAACCCUCAAUUGGAAUGCGAUUUGAUAGCUGGGAGGCAGGUUUGACAUUCUAUAGAAUGUAUGCUCAUGAGGUUGGCUUCUCUGUACGCAUAUGGACACAACACAAAGGAGAGGGCGGUGUAAUAAUCUGGAAGAACUUUGUUUGCGCAAGACAAGGUUGGAGGAAGAAAAAAUCAGUGGAUCUAGGUCAAGUUACUCAAGAAGUGGAGAGAAAAAAGGCUAAAAGAAAUAUCAAGAUAAGCAGAUGCGGUUGUGAGGCUAUGAUGGGAUUGAAGAGGCAAGAUGACAACAAGUACGUGGUCGUCCAAUUUGUUCAAUCGCACACCCACCAACUUGUCUCCCCAAGUAAGAGGCAUCUCAUCAGGUCAAAUAAAGAGGUAACUAGUGAUUUGAGAAACAAAUUAUUUACAUGCAGUAAGGCAUUUCUUGGCACUUCAAAAACUUUUCGCUUGCUUAGCAUAGAGAAGGGUGGGCCAGAAAAUAUUGGUUGCACAGAACGUGACUUACAAAACUGUCACCUUGAUUUAAAGGCAGCGAUUACGGGGGCAGAUGGACAACUUAUAGUAGAUAUAAUGGAAAAUAAAAAAAGGCCAAUCCAGCAUUCUACUUUGAUUACCAGGUAGAUGAGAACAAUAAACUGACAAAUAUUUUAUGGGCAGAUAGCAUAUGUAGAAAGAACUAUUCAUUAUUUGGUGACUUUGCAUCCUUUGACUCUACAUAUCGGUUUAACAAGUAUGACCUGGUAUUUGCCCCUUUUACUGGAGUUAACCAUCACAAAUCUUGUGUUACAUUCGGUGCUGCAUUUUUGUCAAAUGAGAAGAUUGCAUCAUACAAAUAGUUAUUUCAGACUUUCUUGAAAGUGAUGUGUGGGGUUGCACCAAAACUAAUCAUAACCGACGAGGAUCAAAGCAUGAGAAGAGGAAUAGAAAAUAUAUAUUUUCCAAACACAAAGUAUCGACUUUGUAUGUGGCAUAUUCUGAUGAAACUCCCUGAAAAGGUUGGACCCAUCUUGAGAGACAAUGAAUAUUUUAAACCACGAUUCAUGGCAUGUGUCUGGGGAUCAGAGACUCCAGAUGAGUUUGAAUCACGGUGGUCCUCAAUAAUUUCUGAGUUUGGCCUAGAGGAUCAUGAAUGGUUGAAAGAGAAGUAUGGUUUACGUGAAUAAUGGAUUCCAGCAUACUUUAUGGAGUUCUCCCUUGGUGGAAUAUUGCGUACAUCAUCUAGAUCUGAGAGUGAGAAUGCAUUUUUUCGACACUUCACUAACCGAAAGCUUGCCUUGAUUGAGUUUUGGGUAAGAUUUGAAACCGCUUUGGAAGAGCAACGACAAAAGGAGUUGCAAGAGGAUAAUUGUGCACUUCAUACCUUGCCAGUACUCGAGACUUACUGGGGAAUUGAGGCUCAUGCCAAAGAAGUGUGUACUCACAAUAUUUUUGUUGGUUUCCAACGUGAGGUGGUGGCUGCUAGGGAUCGUCAUCAUGUCAAAACCAUUUAGCAGGUUGGUGAUGUCCAAACCAUGAGCAUUGGUGACCUUAGUGGAAGGAUAAGAACAGUCCACUUCAACACUAAUACAAAGGCUGCACAAUGUACAUGUCGAAUGUUUGAAUCAUUGGGCAUCCUUUUCUCUCACAUCAUUGUUGUCUUAAAGAAUGAUGGGUGUAAUGAAAUUCCUAGCCAAUAUGUGCUGCAUAGGUGGACUAAAAUGGCUGCACGACAUCUUUGCUAUGAUGCCAAUGGACAUGAGCUGGAAGGGUCAUCUACUUCUCUUUCACCUACCAUCAAGAAAUUGUACUCACAAACAUGCUCGCAGUUCAGCUUGGCAUUACAUGAAGCUAAACAUUGUGAGGACAAGAUGGAAUACUUAAACAAAGUUGUUGCUGAUGCUUUUGCACACUUGAGGCAGACAGUGCCACUUGAUGAACAAAGUAAAGUUCAAGAGUUUGAAUCCUUUAUUGGAAGGACAUCCCCAAGCAUCAUCAAUAUUCAUCCUCCUGAUAUCGCAAAUACAAAGGACAGUGGCAAGAGAUUGAAGAGGGGUUCAGAGGAGAUCAUUAACAAAAGGAAAAAGGUCAAUUAACCAUAAUUUAAAUAGUAUAUCUUCUAUCAUGUUUUCAUAAUAUGAUUUCCUUCUUGUUUGCAGAGCAAGUAGCAUCCAAGAAGGUUCAACAUCAACAUAUUAUUCUACUUAACGAGGCAAACAUGACAGGGCACAACCCACCCAAGGGAGCGGACAACCUUUACUUCGUGUUAAAUAAUGGAUGAAAAAUGUGUUUGUUAAUGUGAUAUAUGGACCUAGUUCAAGUACACCAUGAUGAAUCUGGCGCAAUAUAUGUGUACCUACUAAUCUUCUAUACAUUGCUUGUAACUGCUGGCUGCAACUCUAGUUAUGUGCAUGUGGAUUAAUGUGUAUUGUUAUGAAUGUCGUUCACAAAGCAUUCAAACUGUCGUACUAUGAGCUAUGAAAUGUUGAGAUGGUUGUUGAUGUGUUGCCUUCUAAGUUCAAAAAGGCGU
Molecule: long non-coding RNA, 3009 nt
Organism: Triticum aestivum (bread wheat)
Lineage: Eukaryota; Viridiplantae; Streptophyta; Magnoliopsida; Poales; Poaceae
Exons: 5
Source: RefSeq, a predicted model, not a curated record